This 234-nucleotide ribosomal RNA is filed under the name uncultured Lactobacillus sp. RNAcentral's name for it is "partial 16S ribosomal RNA". It matches the Rfam family "Bacterial small subunit ribosomal RNA", at positions 128 to 355 of the family's 1533-position model. The record is from RNAcentral. Lineage: Bacteria; Bacillati; Bacillota; Bacilli; Lactobacillales; Lactobacillaceae.
GCCCAAGAGAUCGGGAUAACACCUGGAAACAGAUGCUAAUACCGGAUAACAACAGAUGAUGCCUAUCAACUGUUUAAAAGAUGGUUNUGCUAUCACUCUUGGAUGGACCUGCGGUGCAUUAGCUAGUUGGUAGGGUAACGGCCUACCAAGGCGAUGAUGCAUAGCCGAGUUGAGAGACUGAUCGGCCACAUUGGGACUGAGACACGGCCCAAACUCCUACGGGAGGCAGCAGCA